RNAcentral lists this transfer RNA (70 nucleotides) under Craugastor daryi (Ford's robber frog). RNAcentral describes it as "tRNA-Val". The record is from RNAcentral. Lineage: Eukaryota; Metazoa; Chordata; Amphibia; Anura; Craugastoridae.
CGAAAUAUAGCUUAAUAAAAGCAUCCUGCUUACACCAAGAAGUCGUCUGACUCCCCCAGACUGUUUCGAG